RNAcentral lists this non-coding RNA (28 nucleotides) under Mus musculus (house mouse). Lineage: Eukaryota; Metazoa; Chordata; Mammalia; Rodentia; Muridae. The record is from RNAcentral.
UCUAUGGUCCUGGCUCUGCCCUCAAAGG